This is a long non-coding RNA of Talpa occidentalis (Iberian mole), 1835 nucleotides long. RefSeq lists it as uncharacterized. The record is from RefSeq and is a predicted model, not a curated record. Lineage: Eukaryota; Metazoa; Chordata; Mammalia; Eulipotyphla; Talpidae. The transcript is spliced from 4 exons.
GAUUUUAAAGGAACAUACAUGUGUUUACUUGGUUUAGAUUGCCAGCUUACUUUCUUAAAUUUACUCUUUUGCACAUCAGUCUAUUUUGCAAAAGAUUUCCCUAAAGCUAUUGCUAUUCUGCCUCAGAUAAAAUGAAACAGAGUCAAUAUGAGGAUUCUGAAGUCCUAAAAGAAGAUGAAAGUCACUUGAAAGAAAGAACUUAGUUUCCCAAAUGUCUAAAUGGAGUAGUCUUCUGGAUGAUCUGUGUUGAAUUGUGAAGUGACUGUGGAGGAAACAUGCAUGACAUUAUACCACAGAGACAUUAAGCAGGAGUAAAAAAUUACAAAAAAAAAUUGAAAGAGCGCCUCCCCGGUGGCACAGCGGUUGAGCACUGGGUUGCGAAGCUGCCCACAGACUCUGCAGCGCCGGUUCGAUCACCAGCUGCCAGGUGUUAUGUCCUGGAAUUGUCUAUGAUUGCUCCGCUGAUAAAUUUUUAAAAUGGAAAAAUAAGAGAGUUCAGCAAUGUUACCAGAGCACAAAGGAAAAAUCAAUAGUAUUUGUCUACAUCAGAAACAAUAACUAGAAAAUAUAGUAGAAGAUAAAAUGCAAAUUAUAAAAGCAAGAAACCAAAACUUAAAAGAACCAAAGAAGAGCAACAAAACUUUUCUAGGGGCAACCCUAAAUAUUUCAACAGCCCUCUAGUAUAAAAUUAAAAAAUCUCUAGUAAAGGACAUAGCAAUGCCAAUGUUAAAUGACUGUGUUUGUGAAAUAUAAUCAAAUCCCGGCAGGAUUUGUAUGUUUGUUUGUGGAUGAAACUUGCGUACUGAUUCCAAAAUGUGUAUGAAUGAAGGCCCCCGGCAAUUUUAAGGAAAAAAAUCAAAGAAGAGUAGGUUUUCUCUGCUGUUGACAUGACACAAAGUCAUCAGAUUUCAAAUAAUGUGUCUUGGGCAGCAACUGUCAAGAAGACCCAUUUACCAGAAUAGAGAGCUGAGAAUCAGGUUUUUCGUGUAUGACAACUUGAUCAAAAUGCUAUUAUAUAAGUUUGGGAAAUGAGAAAUGAUAGAAUAUGUUAACAGAAAUAAUAAAAUAUGAAAAAAAGCAUGCAAAACAAUGUUACUUAUUUUUCAAGGAUGCACAUAUAUGUAAUGAAUACAGAGAAGGUGGUUUAGCAGUAGGAAUGAGUAGGAAUGAAAAGGAUAUAGAAGAAAAAUUAAUAUUAAACAAGAGUGUGCCUUAUAAAUGACAUAUGAUAGGAGGCUGUAGACUGAAGAUUAGUAAUUGACUCAAUUCUAUGAAUCCGAAACUUAAAAUUUUAAUCUGGUUUGUAAACAAAUACAACACUGAUAAUAUCUGAAAUGCCAGGGCACCACAACCCUGAGAUCUUUGUGAUUUUGCCUAUUAAGAGAUCAUGCUACUUCCCUUCAAUGUGGUAGACAGAGUUCUAAAUUCCCACCCCCAUUCCAAUUCCUGCCCCCUGGUGUACAGUCAAAUAAUAAUUAUGCUCCUGCUAUGAAGGUAUUUUGUGGAUGAAACAAGUUCCAAAAUUAGUUGACCUCAAGAAGGGACAUAAACCAGUAGGUGUGAAUUAAUCACAUGAGCCUUUUAAAAGCCAAGAAUUUUUUUUCAGCAGAUCACAGACAAGGAAGUCAGAGAGAUACACAUUUUCUUACCUGAAAGAAAGCACCUAUGUCCAUGUUGUGAACUGCCUGUCAGGUGGCAAAAACUGAGGUUGUUCUUUGGUGUUUGAGAGUGGUCUCUGACCAAUAGGAAGAAGAAAAAUAGAGACCCAAGAUUUCAAGCUAAAGAAAAUAUAGUCUACUGACAAUUAAGUACCAUGGAAAAAGAGCCACAUCACA